This 252-nucleotide ribosomal RNA is filed under the name uncultured bacterium. Its description in RNAcentral is "partial 16S ribosomal RNA". It matches the Rfam family "Bacterial small subunit ribosomal RNA", at positions 527 to 776 of the family's 1533-position model. The record is from RNAcentral.
GUAGGGCGCAAGCGUUGUCCGGAAUUAUUGGGCGUAAAGAGCUCGUAGGCGGUCUGUCGCGUCGGCUGUGAAAACCCGAGGCUCAACCUCGGGCCUGCAGUCGAUACGGGCAGACUAGAGUGCGGUAGGGGUGACUGGAAUUCCUGGGUGUAGCGGUGGAAUGCGCAGAUAUCAGGAGGAACACCGAUGGCGAAGGCAGGUCACUGGGCCGCAACUGACGCUGAGGAGCGAAAGCAUGGGGGAGCGAACAGG